AGAGUGAACGCUGGCGGUAGGCCUAACACAUGCAAGUCGAACGGCAGCACAGUGGUAGCAAUACCAUGGGUGGCGAGUGGCGGACGGGUGAGGAAUACAUCGGAAUCUACCUUUUCGUGGGGGAUAACGUAGGGAAACUUACGCUAAUACCGCAUACGCCCUUCGGGGGAAAGCCGGGGAUCGCAAGACCUGGCGCGGAUAGAUGAGCCGAUGUCGGAUUAGCUAGUGUGAGGUAAUGGCUCACCGAAGGUCGACGAUCCGUAGCUAGUCUGAGAGGAUGAUCAGCCACGACUGGAACUGAGACACGUACCGAGUACGUCCUACGGGA
RNAcentral lists this ribosomal RNA (328 nucleotides) under uncultured soil bacterium. Its description in RNAcentral is "bacterial SSU rRNA". It matches the Rfam family "Bacterial small subunit ribosomal RNA", at positions 26 to 346 of the family's 1533-position model. The record is from RNAcentral.